Molecule: ribosomal RNA, 1486 nt
Filed under: uncultured bacterium
Lineage: Bacteria
Description: bacterial SSU rRNA
Rfam family: Bacterial small subunit ribosomal RNA
Source: RNAcentral
AGAGUUUGAUCAUGGCUCAGAACGAACGCUGGCGGUAUGCUUAACACAUGCAAGUCGAACGUUAAAAUCCCUUCGGGGGUAAUUAAAGUGGCGCACGGGUGAGUAAUGCGUAGAUAACCUGCCUUUUAGACUGGGAUAACUUUUUGAAAAGAAAGCUAAUACUGGAUAAUAUGAGGGGUCAAGUGGCACUUCAUUGAAAGAUUUAUCGCUAAAAGAUGGGUCUGCGUGGCAUUAGCUUGUUGGUGAGGUAAUAGCUCACCAAGGCCGCGAUGCCUAGCGGGUCUGAGAGGAUGGUCCGCCACACUGGAACUGAGACACGGUCCAGACUCCUACGGGAGGCAGCAGUGGGGAAUCUUGCGCAAUGGGCGAAAGCCUGACGCAGCAAUACCGCGUGAGUGAAGAAGGCCUUCGGGUCGUAAAUCUCUUUAUGUAAGUGAGGAUAGUGACGUUAGCUUACAAACAAGCACCGGCUAACUCCGUGCCAGCAGCCGCGGUAAUACGGAGGGUGCGAGCGUUAGUUCGGACCCAUUCCCACUCGAGGCGAUAUAUACGGCGCGUAAGGCGGUCUGAAAAGCCAAGGGUGAAAUCCCGGAGCUCAACUCCGGAAUUGCUCUUGGAACUUUUAGACUUGAGAUAGUUAGAGGCAAGUGGAAUUCCUGGUGUAGAAGUGAAAUUCGUAGAUAUCAGGAGGAACACCGGCGGCGAAGGCGGCUUGCUGGAGCUAUUCUGACGCUGAGGCGCGAAAGCGUAGGUAGCAAACAGGAUUAGAUACCCUGGUAGUCUACGCCCUAAACAAUGAGUGCCGGCUGUGUGUGGCUUCGACACCACAUGUGGCGCAGCUAACGCGAUGAGCACUCCGCCUGGGAAGUACGGUCGCAAGACUAAAACUCAAAGGAAUUGACGGGGACCCGCACAAGCGGUGGAACAUGUGGUUUAAUUCGAAGCAACGCGAAGAACCUUACCUGGGUUUGACAUCCUUGGAAAACAGUAGAAAUACUGCUUCCCCUUCGGGGGCCGGGUGACAGGUGCUGCAUGGCUGUCGUCAGCUCGUGUCGUGAGAUGUUGGGUUAAGUCCCGCAACGAGCGCAACCCCUACCCUUAAUUGCCAGCGGUUCGGCCGGGAACUUUGAGGGAACUGCCGGUGUCAAGCCGGAGGAAGGUGGGGAUGACGUCAAGUCCUCAUGGCCUUUAUAUCCAGGGCUACACACGUGUUACAAUGGCAAGUACAAAGGGCUGCUUUGUCGCAAGGCAUGGCGAAUCCUUAAAACUUGUCUCAGUUCGGAUUGCAGUCUGCAACUCGACUGCAUGAAGCUGGAAUCGCUAGUAAUCGCAGAUCAGCACGCUGCGGUGAAUCCGUUCCCGGGUCUUGUACACACCGCCCGUCACACCAUGGGAGUUGACAUCAGCAGAAGACGUUGAGCUAACCUUAGGGAAGCAUGCGUCCAAGCUGCUGUUGAUGACUGGGGUGAAGUCGUAACAAGGUAAC